GUUAAGCGACUAAGCGUACACGGUGGAUGCCCUGGCAGUCAGAGGCGAUGAAGGACGUGCUAAUCUGCGAUAAGCGUCGGUGAGGUGAUAUGAACCGUUAUAACCGGCGAUUUCCGAAUGGGGAAACCCAGUGUGUUUCGACACACUAUCAUUAACUGAAUCCAUAGGUUAAUGAGGCGAACCGGGGGAACUGAAACAUCUAAGUACCCCGAGGAAAAGAAAUCAACCGAGAUUCCCCCAGUAGCGGCGAGCGAACGGGGAGGAGCCCAGAGCCUGAAUCAGUGUGUGUGUUAGUGGAAGCGUCUGGAAAGGCGCGCGAUACAGGGUGACAGCCCCGUACACAAAAAUGCACAUAUUGUGAGCUCGAUGAGUAGGGCGGGACACGUGGUAUCCUGUCUGAAUAUGGGGGGACCAUCCUCCAAGGCUAAAUACUCCUGACUGACCGAUAGUGAACCAGUACCGUGAGGGAAAGGCGAAAAGAACCCCGGCGAGGGGAGUGAAAAAGAACCUGAAACCGUGUACGUACAAGCAGUGGGAGCCUCUUAAUGGGGUGACUGCGUACCUUUUGUAUAAUGGGUCAGCGACUUAUAUUCUGUAGCAAGGUUAACCGAAUAGGGGAGCCGAAGGGAAACCGAGUCUUAACUGGGCGUUAAGUUGCAGGGUAUAGACCCGAAACCCGGUGAUCUAGCCAUGGGCAGGUUGAAGGUUGGGUAACACUAACUGGAGGACCGAACCGACUAAUGUUGAAAAAUUAGCGGAUGACUUGUGGCUGGGGGUGAAAGGCCAAUCAAACCGGGAGAUAGCUGGUUCUCCCCGAAAGCUAUUUAGGUAGCGCCUCGUGAAUUCAUCUCCGGGGGUAGAGCACUGUUUCGGCAAGGGGGUCAUCCCGACUUACCAACCCGAUGCAAACUGCGAAUACCGGAGAAUGUUAUCACGGGAGACACACGGCGGGUGCUAACGUCCGUCGUGAAGAGGGAAACAACCCAGACCGCCAGCUAAGGUCCCAAAGUCAUGGUUAAGUGGGAAACGAUGUGGGAAGGCCCAGACAGCCAGGAUGUUGGCUUAGAAGCAGCCAUCAUUUAAAGAAAGCGUAAUAGCUCACUGGUCGAGUCGGCCUGCGCGGAAGAUGUAACGGGGCUAAACCAUGCACCGAAGCUGCGGCAGCGACACUAUGUGUUGUUGGGUAGGGGAGCGUUCUGUAAGCCUGUGAAGGUGUGCUGUGAGGCAUGCUGGAGGUAUCAGAAGUGCGAAUGCUGACAUAAGUAACGAUAAAGCGGGUGAAAAGCCCGCUCGCCGGAAGACCAAGGGUUCCUGUCCAACGUUAAUCGGGGCAGGGUGAGUCGACCCCUAAGGCGAGGCCGAAAGGCGUAGUCGAUGGGAAACAGGUUAAUAUUCCUGUACUUGGUGUUACUGCGAAGGGGGGACGGAGAAGGCUAUGUUGGCCGGGCGACGGUUGUCCCGGUUUAAGCGUGUAGGCUGGUUUUCCAGGCAAAUCCGGAAAACCAAGGCUGAGGCGUGAUGACGAGGCACUACGGUGCUGAAGCGACAAAUGCCCUGCUUCCAGGAAAAGCCUCUAAGCAUCAGGUAACAUCAAAUCGUACCCCAAACCGACACAGGUGGUCAGGUAGAGAAUACCAAGGCGCUUGAGAGAACUCGGGUGAAGGAACUAGGCAAAAUGGUGCCGUAACUUCGGGAGAAGGCACGCUGAUAUGUAGGUGAAGCGACUUGCUCGUGGAGCUGAAAUCAGUCGAAGAUACCAGCUGGCUGCAACUGUUUAUUAAAAACACAGCACUGUGCAAACACGAAAGUGGACGUAUACGGUGUGACGCCUGCCCGGUGCCGGAAGGUUAAUUGAUGGGGUUAGCGGUAACGCGAAGCUCUUGAUCGAAGCCCCGGUAAACGGCGGCCGUAACUAUAACGGUCCUAAGGUAGCGAAAUUCCUUGUCGGGUAAGUUCCGACCUGCACGAAUGGCGUAAUGAUGGCCAGGCUGUCUCCACCCGAGACUCAGUGAAAUUGAACUCGCUGUGAAGAUGCAGUGUACCCGCGGCAAGACGGAAAGACCCCGUGAACCUUUACUAUAGCUUGACACUGAACAUUGAGCCUUGAUGUGUAGGAUAGGUGGGAGGCUUUGAAGUGUGGACGCCAGUCUGCAUGGAGCCGACCUUGAAAUACCACCCUUUAAUGUUUGAUGUUCUAACGUUGGCCCGUAAUC
RNAcentral lists this ribosomal RNA (2213 nucleotides) under Escherichia coli O166:H6. RNAcentral describes it as "partial 23S ribosomal RNA". It matches the Rfam family "Bacterial large subunit ribosomal RNA", at positions 1 to 2240 of the family's 2925-position model. Lineage: Bacteria; Pseudomonadati; Pseudomonadota; Gammaproteobacteria; Enterobacterales; Enterobacteriaceae. The record is from RNAcentral.